CCUACGGGUGGCAGCAGUGGGGAAUCUUGCGCAAUGGGCGAAAGCCUGACGCAGCGACGCCGCGUGAGGGAUGAAGGUCUUCGGAUCGUAAACCUCUGUCAGCAGGGAAGAACGGUCACUGUGCUAAUCAGCCGUGAAUUGACGGUACCUGCAAAGGAAGCCCCGGCUAACUCCGUGCCAGCAGCCGCGGUAAUACGGAGGUGGCGAGCGUUAAUCGGAAUUACUGGGCGUAAAGCGAUCGUAGGCGGUAUGUUAAGUCAAGUGUGAAAGCCCCGAGCUCAACGUGGGAACUGCCUUUGAAACUGGCAAACUGGAGUGUGUGAGAGGAUAGUGGAAUUCCAGGUGUAGGAGUGAAAUGCGUAGAUAUCUGGAGGAACAUCAGUGGCGAAGGCGACUAUCUGGCACAUAACUGACGCUGAGGAGCGAAAGCGUGGGUAGCAAACAGGAUUAGAUACCCUAGUAGUC
RNAcentral lists this ribosomal RNA (465 nucleotides) under uncultured bacterium. RNAcentral describes it as "partial 16S ribosomal RNA". It matches the Rfam family "Bacterial small subunit ribosomal RNA", at positions 338 to 795 of the family's 1533-position model. The record is from RNAcentral.